Molecule: ribosomal RNA, 432 nt
Filed under: Triticum aestivum (bread wheat)
Lineage: Eukaryota; Viridiplantae; Streptophyta; Magnoliopsida; Poales; Poaceae
Description: partial small subunit ribosomal RNA
Source: RNAcentral
AUGAAGCUCCUAUGCUGGAACAUUAGGGGCUUCGGCAAUCUAGGACGCCGACGCCAACUGGUUGAUUACAUACGGCAGGAAGAUAUUGACAUAGUAGGUCUUCAGGAGACGAUCCGCCAGGACUUCUCCAUUCAGGAUUUACAAGGGCUCUCUCGUCACUCGUUCGCCUGGCAAUGGUUGCCAGCGGCUGGGUUGUCUGGAGGGAUCCUCCUGGGUGUCAGGGAGGAUUUCUUCACAAUCGAGGAUAUGGAACGCGGGGAAUUUUUCCUUAAUAUGUCCAUCACCGACCGACGUGUGAACCUCAUUUGGGAGGUGAUCAUUGUCUAUGGCCCGGCUGAUCACGGGCGGUUGGCUGCGUUCCUGACCGAGCUCCAGGAUAAGGUUGAACGGUGCUCGACCCCAGUUGUAGUGGCGGGUGACUUCAACCUUAUC